UACAGGGGGUGCAAACGUUGCUCGGAAUUAUUGGGCGUAAAGCGCGCGUAGGCGGCUACCUAAGUCGGAUGUGAAAGCCCCUGGCUUAACUGGGGAAGUGCACCCGAAACUGAGUAGCUAGAGUACAAAAGAGGGUCGCGGAAUUCCCGGUGUAGAGGUGAAAUUCGUAGAUAUCGGGAGGAACACUGGUGGCGAAGGCGGCGACCUGGGUUGAUACUGACGCUGAGGCGCGAAAGCGUGGGGAGCAAACAGG
This 253-nucleotide ribosomal RNA is filed under the name uncultured bacterium. RNAcentral describes it as "partial 16S ribosomal RNA". It matches the Rfam family "Bacterial small subunit ribosomal RNA", at positions 524 to 776 of the family's 1533-position model. The record is from RNAcentral.